GAUGAACGCUGGCGGCGUGCCUAAUACAUGCAAGUCGAGCGAACAGAUGAGGAGCUUGCUCCUCUGACGUUAGCGGCGGACGGGUGAGUAACACGUGGAUAACCUACCUAUAAGACUGGGAUAACUUCGGGAAACCGGAGCUAAUACCGGAUAAUAUAUUGAACCGCAUGGUUCAAUAGUGAAAGACGGUUUUGCUGUCACUUAUAGAUGGAUCCGCGCCGCAUUAGCUAGUUGGUAAGGUAACGGCUUACCAAGGCAACGAUGCGUAGCCGACCUGAGAGGGAGACGGCCAACGCGGACAUUGAGACCGGGCCAAGCCCCCGACGGGGGGCGCAGGAAGGAGUUCUGCAGAAUGGGCCAAGGGCCGAAGGAGGAAGCGCCGCGGGAGUGAUGAGGGUGUCGGUCUUUAAAUCCUUUUUUAUUGGGGAAAAACAGUUAUGAACAUAAUUGGGCGCGUCGUGACGGUACUUAAACAAAAAGCCCCGGCUAACUACGUG
This 497-nucleotide ribosomal RNA is filed under the name uncultured bacterium. RNAcentral's name for it is "partial 16S ribosomal RNA". It matches the Rfam family "Bacterial small subunit ribosomal RNA", at positions 28 to 507 of the family's 1533-position model. The record is from RNAcentral.